Molecule: small nucleolar RNA, 138 nt
Filed under: Ornithorhynchus anatinus (platypus)
Lineage: Eukaryota; Metazoa; Chordata; Mammalia; Monotremata; Ornithorhynchidae
Source: RNAcentral
CCCCUUUCUGGAUUGCACCUGGAGAGUUUCCAGUACUCUACCAGUCUCAGCUAUGGGAGGGAGAGUCAAGCAGAGGCAUGCCCAUUCCAUUCCUAGCUUGGGCAGUGACUAGUCAGUGGAAGGCAAUCUGUAGAAAGC